RNAcentral lists this non-coding RNA (26 nucleotides) under Homo sapiens (human). The record is from RNAcentral. Lineage: Eukaryota; Metazoa; Chordata; Mammalia; Primates; Hominidae.
UUGCAGAAAUGAUGAGGUCGUAUUAC